CCAAAACUUCCGCAUGACAUUUUUGAGUUUAGCAAAGCCAUCUUGACUAGGAAACCUUGACCGAUUGAACCCUUGAAAAAGGUCCCAUACGGACCGAAACGUCGGGAAAAAUCAUAAA
Aedes albopictus (Asian tiger mosquito) is the source of this 118-nucleotide long non-coding RNA. RefSeq lists it as uncharacterized. Lineage: Eukaryota; Metazoa; Arthropoda; Insecta; Diptera; Culicidae. The record is from RefSeq and is a predicted model, not a curated record. The transcript is spliced from 2 exons.